UGGGGAAUUUUGCGCAAUGGGCGAAAGCCUGACGCAGCGACGCCGCGUGUGCGAUGAAGGCCCUUGGGUCGUAAAGCACUGUCGAUCGGGACGAAAGCUCCCGGGCUAACAUCCCGGGAGAUUGACGGUACCGGUAAAGGAAGCACCGGCCAACUCUGUGCCAGCAGCCGCGGUAAUACAGAGGGUGCAAACGUUGCUCGGAAUUAUUGGGCGUAAAGCGCGUGUAGGCGGCUCGUUAUGUCGGCUGUGAAAGCCCAUGGCUCAACCAUGGAAGUGCAGCCGGAACUGGCGAGCUUGAGUCCUGGAGAGGGUGGCGGAAUGCCCAGUGUAGAGGUGAAAUUCGUAGAUAUUGGGUAGAACACCGGUGGCGAAGGCGGCCACCUGGACAGCGACUGACGCUAAGACGCGAAAGCGUGGGGAGCGAACAGGAUUAGAUACCCUGGUAGUCCACGCCGUAAACGAUGAGCACUAGGUGUUGCGGGUAUUGACCCCUGCAGUGCCGACGCUAACGCAUUAAGUGCUCCGCCUGGGGAGUACGGCCGCAAGGCUAA
This 551-nucleotide ribosomal RNA is filed under the name uncultured Myxococcales bacterium. RNAcentral describes it as "bacterial SSU rRNA". It matches the Rfam family "Bacterial small subunit ribosomal RNA", at positions 355 to 897 of the family's 1533-position model. Lineage: Bacteria; Pseudomonadati; Myxococcota; Myxococcia; Myxococcales. The record is from RNAcentral.